UACGUAGGGUGCGAGCGUUGCCCGGAUUUAUUGGGCGUAAAGGGCGCGUAGGCGGCCACGCACGUCCGUUGUGAAAUCGCCCGGCUCAACUGGGCGGGGUCAGCGGAUACGGUGUGGCUAGAGCAAGCUAGGGGGCAAUGGAAUUCCCGGUGUAGUGGUGGAAUGCGUAGAUAUCGGGAGGAACACCAGUGGCGAAGGCGGUUGCCUGGAGCUUUGCUGACGCUGAUGCGCGAAGGCUAGGGUAGCAAACAGG
This 253-nucleotide ribosomal RNA is filed under the name uncultured bacterium. RNAcentral's name for it is "partial 16S ribosomal RNA". It matches the Rfam family "Bacterial small subunit ribosomal RNA", at positions 524 to 776 of the family's 1533-position model. The record is from RNAcentral.